UGAGUUGUGUGAUUUGAGAUAGGGUGUGAUUUGUGAGUUUGUGUGUGAUUUGUGAGUUUGUGUGUGGUUUGAGAAGGAAAGUUGCAGGUAUUUAUAGAAAAGCGGGGCUCGCUAAUUCCUCGUAAAAUGUUGACUCGUAAAUUCCACGUAAGCUUAAUCGUCGUAAAAACUCGUAAACCUAAACUCGGGCCUUUGUAAUUCCUCGCUACUUCCUCGUACAAUAAAAAACGGGCCUUUGUAAUUCCUCGUAAAGCUAAACACAGGCCUUUGUAAUUCCUUGUAACUUUACGAGGAAAUAACGAGGAUAAGUAAUCUUAUAUAUACUCCCGAGCGCUGACUUUUUCUUUCCUCUCCACUUCCUCUCCACUUCCUUUCUAUUUCGUAGCAAUGGUAAGUCUCUCUAAUUCCUCUCUAAUUUGAUUAGUUUAGGAUAUAUUAUGUGGUUAGUAUAGGGAAUUUAGAUAGGUUUACGGGUUUUAUGUUAAUUAAUGUUGAUUAGGUGGAUAAUGUAGGGAAUUAUACUGCUGAUGUUAAUUUUAAAAAUUAAAAAAAAAUUCCAGACGAUUCGAAAGAACAGACUUACUCCCCAUUACAGAUAGAUGUUCAGUGAGCCUGGUAGUCGUUUAGACCCGUCGUCUUCUUCAGCUCCCGGUUCUUCUUCCGCUCCCGGUUCUUCGGGUCCGGAGACUGUCCCCGAGACUCAGCCUUCUCAGAGAGUCUCUCGGUUUUCUUCUUCUAGUGCACCAUCGGUUCCUCCUGUG
RNAcentral lists this long non-coding RNA (761 nucleotides) under Brassica napus (rape). Its description in RNAcentral is "long non-coding RNA (BNAP_LNC017516)". Lineage: Eukaryota; Viridiplantae; Streptophyta; Magnoliopsida; Brassicales; Brassicaceae. The record is from RNAcentral.